Molecule: ribosomal RNA, 268 nt
Filed under: uncultured bacterium
Lineage: Bacteria
Description: partial 16S ribosomal RNA
Rfam family: Bacterial small subunit ribosomal RNA
Source: RNAcentral
CCGGCGACCGGCGCACGGGUGAGUAACACGUAUGCAACCUGCCCCUCGUCAGGGGGACAACCCGCCGAAAGGCGGGCUAAACCCGCGUACAUGCCACCGGGGCAUCCCGGAGGCAGGAAAGGCUUCGGCCGGACAGGGAUGGGCAUGCGGCGCAUUAGGCAGUAGGCGGGGUAACGGCCCACCUAACCGACGAUGCGUAGGGGUUCUGAGAGGAAGGUCCCCCACACUGGUACUGAGACACGGACCAGACUCCUACGGAAGGCAGCAG